This is a long non-coding RNA of Salvelinus fontinalis (brook trout), 1530 nucleotides long. RefSeq lists it as uncharacterized. NCBI's taxonomy places the organism in Eukaryota, Metazoa, Chordata, Actinopteri, Salmoniformes, Salmonidae. The transcript has 4 exons. The record is from RefSeq and is a predicted model, not a curated record.
UCCUCUAUGUCAUUUCUCCACCAUGCAUUUAUAACCUCAUGAUACUACAGCAGUGUUUCCCUGGGUUCCUGUGGUGGGGGUGGGGGUUGUCCUGACUGCUGGAGCUCUUCUACUCACCAUCUACUGCUAUAUGAAGAGGAGAUCCACAGGAGGAAGUGAUGCAACAGCAGACACACAGAGUGUCCAUCCUGAUCCUAACAGUGACACUUACACAGCUCUGAACAUGAAGACCAGGUCACCAGAGUAUGACACCUUGGCAAAUGUGAGGGACUUCCCCAGUGACACAGACAGACCGUCAGAUAGAUGCUGAGCCCUCAGAUUAUGAGAAUUUAAGAGAACCACCACAGAACCUGGACUGAAGAGAACCACCACAGAACCUGAACUGAAGAGAACCACAACAGAACAUGGACUGAAGAGCUACAGCAUCAAACCAAAGCUAGGCCUCACAAUGCUAUUCUCUUACUAUCAUAAUGCUUUCUUAUCUAGAAGGUUUAAGACAAUGAGCUUUAACUGUUGAGUGAAUGCUGGAAUUUAGAUUGUUCACCUAAUGAUAAAUACAGUAUGUGCACUACCGUUCAAAAGUUUGGGGUCACUUAAAAUUUCCUUGUUUUUGAAAGAAUAGCAAAAAUAAAUUGUCCAUUAAAAUAGCAUCUAGUUGAUCAGAAAUGCAGUGUAGACAUUGUUAAUGUUGUAAAUUACUAUUGUACCUGGAAAUGGCAGAUUUUUUAUGGAAUAUCUACAAAGGCGUACAGAGGCCAAUUAUCAGCAUCCAUCACUCCUCUGUUCCAAUGGCACGUUGUGUUAGCUAAUCCAAGUUUAUCAUUUUUAAAGGCUAAUUGAUCAUUAGAAACCACAUUGCAAUUAUAUUAGCACAGCUGAAAACUGUUGUGCUCGCAGAUUAAAGAAGCAAUGAAACUGGCCAUCUUUAGACUAGUUGAGUAUCUGGAGAAUCAGCAUUUGAGGGUUCGAUUACAGGCUCAAAAUGUCAAUUUAUCUGUUUACUAUCUAUAGAUUUGAUUGCUUAUCUUUUUUUUAUGGCAUUUUGCCAUUUCCAGAUUUUUAUAACAUAUAAAUUAUUCACUUGUCUUAGUGACACAAAAAGGAAUUAUAUUGACAAGCUUUUAAAUAUUUCUUUCUCUCGAGUCGCUCCUGAUGUGUUAAAAUAUGUUUUACUUUGUAUUGCUGUCAGUCAUUAUUGGUCAUUUUAUAUUUUAUAUUAUGUUAUACCAUAUUGUUCAGCAUCUUGAUAUUGCUUGUUUUAUUAUCAAAUUAUUAAUAAUUACAUAUUUUAGAUACAUUGAAUACUGUAUAAGCAUCAUGUUAUAAAUAAGCUCAAAGGUAGACAAUAAAAAGACAAGAAAUAAAUUGAUUAUUUUGUUAAUUUACAUUGAUUCAUAACUAUUUCCAUUCUGCUCGUUUCUUGUAUUUCUGCCUAUUGGACACAUGAUGGUGCCAUUGAACCACAUAACCAUGAGUGGCGAGGCACACACAUACACACAUAUCUAGACCUUGCCAGAUUCUUUCCCAGUA